GAACGGGUGAGUAACACGUGAGUAACCUGCCCUUGACUCUGGAAUAAGCGUUGGAAACGACGUCUAAUACUGGAUACGAGCUUCAGCCGCAUGGCUAGGAGCUGGAAAGAAUUUCGGUCAAGGAUGGACUCGCGGCCUAUCAGGUAGUUGGUGAGGUAAUAGCUCACCAAGCCUACGACGGGUAGCCGGCCUGAGAGGGUGACCGGCCACACUGGAACUGAGACACGGUCCAGACUCCUACGGGAGGCAGCAGUGGGGAAUAUUGCACAAUGGGCGAAAGCCUGAUGCAGCAACGCCGCGUGAGGGACGACGGCCUUCGGGUUGUAAACCUCUUUUAGUAGGGAAGAAGCGAAAGUGACGGUACCUGCAGAAAAAGCACCGGCUAACUACGUGCCAGCAGCCGCGGUAAUACGUAGGGUGCAAGCGUUAUCCGGAAUUAUUGGGCGUAAAGAGCUCGUAGGCGGUUUGUCGCGUCUGCUGUGAAAACUGGAGGCUCAACCUCCAGCCUGCAGUGGGUACGGGCAGACUAGAGUGCGGUAGGGGAGAUUGGAAUUCCUGGUGUAGCGGUGGAAUGCGCAGAUAUCAGGAGGAACACCGAUGGCGAAGGCAGAUCUCUGGGCCGUAACUGACGCUGAGGAGCGAAAGCAUGGGGAGCGAACAGGAUUAGAUACCCUGGUAGUCCAUGCCGUAAACGUUGGGAACUAGAUGUAGGGACCAUUCCACGGUUUCUGUGUCGCAGCUAACGCAUUAAGUUCCCCGCCUGGGGAGUACGGCCGCAAGGCUAAAACUCAAAGGAAUUGACGGGGGCCCGCACAAGCGGCGGAGCAUGCGGAUUAAUUCGAUGCAACGCGAAGAACCUUACCAAGACUUGACAUAUACGAGAACGGGCUAGAAAUAGUUCACUCUUUGGACACUCGUAAACAGGUGGUGCAUGGUUGUCUUCACCUCCUGUCCUGAAAUGUUGGGUUAAG
This 971-nucleotide ribosomal RNA is filed under the name Salinibacterium sp. RNAcentral describes it as "bacterial SSU rRNA". It matches the Rfam family "Bacterial small subunit ribosomal RNA", at positions 100 to 1084 of the family's 1533-position model. The record is from RNAcentral. Lineage: Bacteria; Bacillati; Actinomycetota; Actinomycetes; Micrococcales; Microbacteriaceae.